AGAGUUUGAUCAUGGCUCAGAUUGAACGCUGGCGGCAGGCUUAACACAUGCAAGUCGAGCGGGGGAAGGUAGCUUGCUACUGGACCUAGCGGCGGACGGGUGAGUAAUGCUUAGGAAUCUGCCUAUUAGUGGGGGACAACAUCUCGAAAGGGAUGCUAAUACCGCAUACGUCCUACGGGAGAAAGCAGGGGAUCUUCGGACCUUGCGCUAAUAGAUGAGCCUAAGUCGGAUUAGCUAGUUGGUGGGGUAAAGGCCUACCAAGGCGACGAUCUGUAGCGGGUCUGAGAGGAUGAUCCGCCACACUGGGACUGAGACACGGCCCAGACUCCUACGGGAGGCAGCAGUGGGGAAUAUUGGACAAUGGGGGGAACCCUGAUCCAGCCAUGCCGCGUGUGUGAAGAAGGCCUUAUGGUUGUAAAGCACUUUAAGCGAGGAGGAGGCUACUUUAGUUAAUACCUAGAGAUAGUGGACGUUACUCGCAGAAUAAGCACCGGCUAACUCUGUGCCAGCAGCCGCGGUAAUACAGAGGGUGCGAGCGUUAAUCGGAUUUACUGGGCGUAAAGCGUGCGUAGGCGGCUUAUUAAGUCGGAUGUGAAAUCCCCGAGCUUAACUUGGGAAUUGCAUUCGAUACUGGUGAGCUAGAGUAUGGGAGAGGAUGGUAGAAUUCCAGGUGUAGCGGUGAAAUGCGUAGAGAUCUGGAGGAAUACCGAUGGCGAAGGCAGCCAUCUGGCCUAAUACUGACGCUGAGGUACGAAAGCAUGGGGAGCAAACAGGAUUAGAUACCCUGGUAGUCCAUGCCGUAGACGAUGUCUACUAGCCGUUGGGGCCUUUGAGGCUUUAGUGGCGCAGCUAACGCGAUAAGUAGACCGCCUGGGGAGUACGGUCGCAAGACUAAAACUCAAAUGAAUUGACGGGGGCCCGCACAAGCGGUGGAGCAUGUGGUUUAAUUCGAUGCAACGCGAAGAACCUUACCUGGCCUUGACAUACUAGAAACUUUCCAGAGAUGGAUUGGUGCCUUCGGGAAUCUAGAUACAGGUGCUGCAUGGCUGUCGUCAGCUCGUGUUGUGAGAUGUUGGGUUAAGUCCCGCAACGAGCGCAACCCUUUUCCUUACUUGCCAGCAUUUCGGAUGGGAACUUUAAGGAUACUGCCAGUGACAAACUGGAGGAAGGCGGGGACGACGUCAAGUCAUCAUGGCCCUUACGGCCAGGGCUACACACGUGCUACAAUGGUCGGUACAAAGGGUUGCUACACAGCGAUGUGAUGCUAAUCUCAAAAAGCCGAUCGUAGUCCGGAUUGGAGUCUGCAACUCGACUCCAUGAAGUCGGAAUCGCUAGUAAUCGCGGAUCAGAAUGCCGCGGUGAAUACGUUCCCGGGCCUUGUACACACCGCCCGUCACACCAUGGGAGUUUGUUGCACCAGAAGUAGCUAGCCUAACUGCAAAGAGGGCGGUUACCACGGUGUGGCCGAUGACUGGGGUGAAGUCGUAACAAGGUAGCCGUAGGGGAACCUGCGGCUGGAUCACCU
Molecule: ribosomal RNA, 1525 nt
Filed under: Acinetobacter baumannii LAC-4
Lineage: Bacteria; Pseudomonadati; Pseudomonadota; Gammaproteobacteria; Moraxellales; Moraxellaceae
Description: bacterial SSU rRNA
Rfam family: Bacterial small subunit ribosomal RNA
Source: RNAcentral